This 522-nucleotide ribosomal RNA is filed under the name uncultured Glomeromycotina. RNAcentral's name for it is "SSU rRNA". It matches the Rfam family "Eukaryotic small subunit ribosomal RNA", at positions 569 to 1092 of the family's 1831-position model. The record is from RNAcentral. Lineage: Eukaryota; Fungi; Glomeromycota.
AGCAGCCGCGGUAAUUCCAGCUCCAAUAGCGUAUAUUAAAGUUGUUGCAGUUAAAAAGCUCGUAGUUGAAUUUCGGGGUUAGUAGGUUGGUCAUGCCUCUGGUAUGUACUGGUCUCACUGAUUCCUCCUUCCUGAUGAACCUUAAUGCCAUUAAUUUGGUGUUUUGGGGAAUUUGGACUGUUACUUUGAAAAAAUUAGAGUGUUUAAAGCAAGCUAACGCUUGAAUACAUUAGCAUGGAAUAAUGAAAUAGGACGUUCGAUCCUAUUUUGUUGGUUUCUAGGAUUGACGUAAUGAUUAAUAGGGAUAGUUGGGGGCAUUAGUAUUCAAUUGUCAGAGGUGAAAUUCUUGGAUUUAUUGAAGACUAACUACUGCGAAAGCAUUUGCCAAGGAUGUUUUCAUUAAUCAAGAACGAAAGUUAGGGAAUCGAAGACGAUCAGAUACCGUCGUAGUCUUAACCAUAAACUAUGCCGACUAGGGAUCGGAUGAUGUUAAUUUUUUAAUGACUCAUUCGGCGCCUUACG